Molecule: long non-coding RNA, 1046 nt
Organism: Numida meleagris (helmeted guineafowl)
Lineage: Eukaryota; Metazoa; Chordata; Aves; Galliformes; Numididae
Exons: 3
Source: RefSeq, a predicted model, not a curated record
UGUUGUUCUUUUAUUUACCACCAAGGUUAAUUAUCUGUCAGGACACAGCUUUCCCGAUGCUUACACCAGUUUGUGUGUUUAAACAGCAGAGUUUGGGUUGGGUUUCUUUAUUUUUGGUGAUGGGGGAAAAUGCAUUUUUGUGACCAUUUGGAAGAGGGCAAAAAGAUUGUGGGGUUUGCAAGAAAAUGGGGAAAAAGGAAGUUUUUGUGUGGGAGGGAGGGCUGUGUGUGGGAGCAGCAGUAAGGGGAAGGGCAGGAGAGCUGACUUCCCCCUUUUUGUAAUGCAAGGGGAAAUGCUGGAGAGUUUGAGAGCUCGAUGGAGACUUUAGGGGCUGGAUGGAGGUUUUUUGUGGGGCUGAAUGGAGGUUUUUGGGGCCACACAAAGGUCUGGGGGCUACAUGAAGGAUCUUCAGGCUCAGUGGAGGUUUUGGGGCUGGAUAGAAAUGUUGGGGUGGUUGGAGAUUUUGUGUCUGAGUGGAGGAUUUUGGGGUGGAUGGAGGUUUUUUGUGCAGAUGGAGAUUUUGUGUCAGGAUGAUGGCUUUUGGGUUUGACUAGGGUGUUGGGGCCUGGAUGUAGAGACUGGGUCUGGGUGUAGAGAGGCUGCAGGCAUCGACAAUGAAGAAGACUCCAAGGCCGAAGACGAGUGCAGCAACCAAGCCCCUCACCAGUGUUAUCACCAGAUUUACAUGGGACCACUCCUCAGCACCCGUGGGGUCCAUGUAUUUGGUUGUUCCUGUUGCCAGCCACAACCCCCAUACAGACUGAAUCUAGGGACAGUGUCACCAGUCCACGGCAGGGGGUGCACAAAAUGGGGAGGCUCAGACCCACCUCGGUUUGCGGAUCUGGGUGUCACCUCCAGCAUCACGCUGUUCCCAAGGGGAGAGGACAUUAAGUGGAAGAAACCCUUGAUGAGGCACCCGGUACUGGCACUGAUACGUACCUGUGUGUUCCCGCAUUGUGCUAACAAAGGAGAACUCGGCCGUAUUCUGCACCUGGUGCUUGUACAUGCAGAAGAUGGAUCAUUCUUCCUGGCAGAGCCAGACCCAG